CUAAUAACACCCAGUAUGCAAGGCAGGCGGUGGAACCGAAUCCCAGCCAUGCAACUUGUGUGCUGUGCAACGAUGGCAAGUUAACCUGAGCCUGUUUCCUCAUGAGAAAUGAUUACCUUGGAAGCUGCUUCUAACAAUGUGACUAGAACCUUUAGGAAAAACACAUAGCACAAGCUUGCCACAGAAGAGAGGCUCAACAAAUAGAAAAACUUGAUUUCCAGCGCUCUUGUUGGGAAUAAAUGGAAGUCACUGUGAAUAUUGCAUACUGCCGAGAAGAGGAAAAAAAUCAAGUUUCUUGCCUAGGACUUUCUGUGCAGCUCCUAUGUCUUAGAAGAUGUGUUUGGCUCCCUUUUGUGAAAGGCUUUUCCUUCAGUUUAUUUACCUGUGUGAACAGAAUUCAAAAUUCUUUCAUCAUUUCGCUAAAGCUCAGUGAGGAGUGUCAACUCCACAAGCCAAAAAGCCUAAUCCUACGUUGGCAGCCAGAUUACACACAUCUGAAAUUGAACCACCAGAAAUACCAUACCCAGAAAAUCAUUUGAUCUGUGAACUGAAUCCUGUGAGGGUUCCGGGCCUCCUCAAGGCAGAAAGGGUUCAAUUUGAAAGGCGGUUAUUAGCCCUGUCCCAUGAGAGGGAGCGGGAGAUCCACAUCUUUCCUGGGAGCCUCGUGCCUUGCACACACCAUCGAAAACCUGUUCAUCUGCACUGGAAGCAGCAUGCAAAUAAAACGUUUUGGCUCUAUA
This 740-nucleotide long non-coding RNA is filed under the name Homo sapiens (human). RNAcentral's name for it is "novel transcript". Lineage: Eukaryota; Metazoa; Chordata; Mammalia; Primates; Hominidae. The record is from RNAcentral.